This 205-nucleotide ribosomal RNA is filed under the name uncultured bacterium. Its description in RNAcentral is "partial 16S ribosomal RNA". It matches the Rfam family "Bacterial small subunit ribosomal RNA", at positions 568 to 774 of the family's 1533-position model. The record is from RNAcentral.
UGCGCAGGCGGUUCUAUAAGACAGAUGUGAAAUCCCCGGGCUCAACCUGGGAAUGGCAUUUGUGACUGUAGAGCUAGAGUACGGUAGAGGGGGAUGGAAUUCCGCGUGUAGCAGUGAAAUGCGUAGAUAUGCGGAGGAACACCGAUGGCGAAGGCAAUCCCCUGGACCUGUACUGACGCUCAUGCACGAAAGCUGGGAGCAAACA